UUUGAAAUCUGGCCCUUGUGGUCCGAGUUGUAAUUUGUAGAGGAUGCUUUUGGUGCGGUGCCUUCCGAGUUCCCUGGAACGGGACGCCAUAGAGGGUGAGAGCCCCGUCUGGUUGGACACCAAGCCUCUGUAAAGCUCCUUCGACGAGUCGAGUAGUUUGGGAAUGCUGCUCUAAAUGGGAGGUAUAUGUCUUCUAAAGCUAAAUACCGGCCAGAGACCGAUAGCGCACAAGUAGAGUGAUCGAAAGAUGAAAAGCACUUUGAAAAGAGGGUUAAAUAGUACGUGAAAUUGUUGAAAGGGAAGCGUUUGUGACCAGACUUGGGCUUGGUUAAUCAUCCAGCGUUCUCGCUGGUGCACUUUGCCAGCCCAGGCCAGCAUCAGUUCGCUGCGGGGGAUAAAAGAUCUGGGAAUGUGGCUCUUCGGAGUGUUAUAGCCUGUUUCUUAAUACCCUGUGGUGGACUGAGGUUCGCGCAUCUGCAAGGAUGCUGGCGUAAUGGUCAUCAACGACCCGUCUUGAAACACGGACCAAGGAGUCGUCUUCGUAUGCGAGUGUUCGGGUGUCAAACCCCUACGCGUAAUGAAAGUGAACGGAGGUGGGAGCCUCGGCGCACCAUCGACCGAUCCUGAUGUUUUCGGAUGGAUUUGAGUAAGAGCAUACGGGGCCGGACCCGAAAGAAGGUGAACUAUGCCUGUAUAGGGUGAAGCCAGAGGAAACUCUGGUGGAGGCUCGCAGCGGUUCUGACGUGCAAAUCGAUCGUCAAAUAUGGGCA
RNAcentral lists this ribosomal RNA (770 nucleotides) under Thyronectria pinicola. RNAcentral describes it as "partial large subunit ribosomal RNA". It matches the Rfam family "Eukaryotic large subunit ribosomal RNA", at positions 114 to 917 of the family's 3401-position model. The record is from RNAcentral. Lineage: Eukaryota; Fungi; Ascomycota; Sordariomycetes; Hypocreales; Nectriaceae.